AUUGAACGCUGGCGGCAUGCUUUACACAUGCAAGUCGAACGGUAACAGGGAGCUUGCUCCGCUGACGAGUGGCGAACGGGUGAGUAAUGCAUCGGAACGUACCCAGUCGUGGGGGAUAACGUAGCGAAAGUUACGCUAAUACCGCAUACGUCCUGAGGGAGAAAGCGGGGGACCGAAAGGCCUCGCGCGAUUGGAGCGGCCGAUGUCGGAUUAGCUAGUUGGUGGGGUAAAGGCCUACCAAGGCGACGAUCCGUAGCGGGUCUGAGAGGAUGAUCCGCCACACUGGGACUGAGACACGGCCCAGACUCCUACGGGAGGCAGCAGUGGGGAAUUUUGGACAAUGGGGGCAACCCUGAUCCAGCCAUGCCGCGUGAGUGAAGAAGGCCUUCGGGUUGUAAACUUCUUUACUACGCGAAUAGAGGUUAGUACGAGAUACUAAUAGGAAGGUAGUGUAGUAAAAAAGCACCGGCUAACUCCGUG
This 480-nucleotide ribosomal RNA is filed under the name uncultured bacterium. RNAcentral's name for it is "bacterial SSU rRNA". It matches the Rfam family "Bacterial small subunit ribosomal RNA", at positions 30 to 507 of the family's 1533-position model. The record is from RNAcentral.